AGCAGUACCGCUGAGGUCCUUUUGCCUGUGGUGGUAGCCUCGUUUUUUGUUUUUUUGUUUUUUUGUUUUUUUUUUUUUUGCUGUUUGCAGGUAAGUCUUGCAGCUGCUCGCUGUUUGGGUCUACACAGUCUUAAUGAGCUGUAAUACGUGAAGGUCUGCAGCUUCACUCACCAGGAGCAAUGAACAACUCCAGACGCGCCUCCUUAAGAGCUGCAAUACACCGCGAGGGUGUGCAGCCUCACUCCUGAACCAGUGAGACCACGAACCCACCAGAAGGGAAAAACUCUGAACACAUCUGAACAUGAGAAGGAACAAACUCCGGAUACGUUGCCUUUAAGAAGUGUAACACUCACCCCGAGGGUCUGUGGCUUCAUUCUUGAAGUCAGACCAAGAACUCACCAAUUUGGGACACAGCUUACCUCCCUUCCUCCUGAGUGUGGGGUGGCCUUAGUGAUUCACUGAUACUAGAACGUGUCAGAAGCGAAGGUGUGCAACUUCCAAGACUAGGUCGUAAAAGGCCUUGUGUCUUCCUCCUUGCUCUGUUCCUGGGUUCUUUUAAUCUGGAAAGCCAACUGCCAUGCCCUCAUAUAAGGGCACUUAAGCGGCCUUGGGGAGAAGACCACAUGGUGAAGAACUGAGACGUCUUGUCAACAGCCAGCUUUACCCUGGCUGUUGUGUGGAGAAUGAAGUGGAGAGAAGAGCAAGGAGGUACUGCCGUUAUCUAAGGGAGGAAUGAUGGCUUGCACAAGGGCGGUGGCAGCACAGAUGGAGGUAAGUGGAUGGAUGUGAACUAUAUUGAGGAGGAAAAGCUGGGAUUGGAGUUAGAUUGGAUGUGGAGACAGCAAGACAGAAAAAGGCCUGAGGGGCUGGGUGCAGUGGCUCACACCUGUAAUCCCAGCACUUUGGGAAGCUGAGGUAGGUGGAUCACUUGAGGUCUUUGAGACCAGCCUGGCCAACAUGGUGAAACCCCAUCUCUACUAAAAAUACAAAAAUUAGCUGGGCUUAGUGGCACACACCUGUAAUCUCAGCUACUCAGGAGGCUGAGGCAGGAGAAUCACUUGAACCCGGGAGGUGGAGGUUGCAGUGAGCCAAGAUCGUGCCACUGCACUCCAGCCUGGGCGACAGAGUGAGACUCUGUCUCAAAAAAAGAAAAAGGUCUGAGGGAUGACUUUAGGUUCCUGGUUGGGGAAACUGGAUGGAUAGCAGAGGUGCCAUCCACUGAGAUGAAGAACCUUGGAAAAGCACCAGUUUUCUGGGGAAAGAUCAUGAGUUCAUUCUCUUCAAUAGUUAAUUUGAAGUGUCUUUGAAAUAUACAAGUAAAGAUGUAUUGUAUACAGUCAGAUAUGGGCCUAGAGCUCAGAGACUCAAGGCCAGAGAUGCAGAUUUUAGGACUGUAUUAGUCAGGGUUGGCUAAUAUAUAUAAUGGUUAAGAAAGAAAAAUCACAAGAAAGAAAAAGAAGAUCUGAACAAUGCUGUCAACCACUUGACCUAACUGACAUUUGUAGAACACUCCAAGUACACAUUGUACAUUCUCCAAGAUAGACCAUAAAACGAGUUGGGCCAUAAAACGAGUCUCAAUACAUUUCAAACUAUUGAAACCUUCGAUAAAUCUUAAUUUAUUGAAAUUAGAAGUCAAUUACAGUAAGAUAUCUGGCACAACCCAAAUAUUUGGAAAUUAAAUACACACUUCCAGAUAACCCAUGGGUAGAAGAAUAAGUCACAAAGAAAAUGAGUAAUUAAAAAUUAUUUUGCACUGAACAAUAAAUAAAAGUAUAAUCUAUCAAAAUUUGUGAUUUACAACUAAAGGAGUGCUUAAAGGAAAAUAUUUAGCUUUAUUAGGAAAGAAGAAAGAUGUAAAAGUAAGGAUCUAAGGUUCCACUUCAAAAAGCUAGGAUAAAAAAGAGCAAAGUAAACUUUAAGUAGAAGAAAGGAAAAAAUAAUAAAAAAACAGUCAAUAUUUGUGAAGCAGAAAACAUAUAAGAAGAGAAAAUUAACAAAGCCAAAAGCUGGUUCAUUGAAAAUAUCAACGAAAUUUAUAAACUCCUAGCUGGCUAGGUUGAUUAAAGAGACAGCAUGCAAAUUAUAAAUUUAGGGAAUGAAAGGAGAUAUUGAUAGUAACAGGAGGCAGUCAAAUGCCUCGGCAGACAGGAGCAGGUCCCUGGUGAAGCCCCACCUCCAAACCAAAGACAGUUUAAAGCCUGAAAGCCAAACUACAAGUUAAAUCCUUGGACUGGAUUAAGAAUUUGUCCUCCUGUUUGGUGUGCCUUCCUCUGAUUGAUCCCCACCUUUCACCUAUUUUACAUAUACCUACCCUUUCCUAAUUGGUUUUCUACACUGUCAUGCCCACCUUUGAGUGAUCUCUUAAUUUUAACCUUCUUUGCAUACUCACAAACCAAUCAGCACACACUCCCCAUCCUGUGCCUAUAAAGACUCAGUCAGUAGAAGGGGAGAUGGCCUGACUUCGAGGAAGAGACAACCUGACUUUGGGGAAGACAACCUUCCCUUCCCAUCCCCUCUCCAGCUCCCCUCUCCACUGAGAGCUGUUUCCGUCACUCAAUAAAAUGCUCUGUCUUCACCCACUCAUUGGGUCCCAAGCUCUUGUCCAGCAUCCAGGCAGAAUGAGGUCAUGCAGGUGAUGGAAGAGUUUCUUCCUGGAUGCUGGAUAAGACCUCAGGACCCACCAAGUGCAGGUACCCAGAAAAGGCUGUCACAAUGGCCCUUUGCCCUCAGCAGCGGAGGGCAGCUACCCCACAUGACGAGGCAAGGGGCCAACUAAGCUGCUAACACACCACUGUCCAUCAGACCAUGGACAGUGGAACUAAAAGACUACUAUAACACACCCCCUUUGGGGCCUCGGGGUCAUGGGCAACCUCACCUGGGUGUCACUGUUCCCCUCAAGGUGACACACCUGGUCUGGCCACAGGCCCCCCAAA
Molecule: long non-coding RNA, 2933 nt
Filed under: Homo sapiens (human)
Lineage: Eukaryota; Metazoa; Chordata; Mammalia; Primates; Hominidae
Description: HSALNT0388393
Source: RNAcentral